RNAcentral lists this unclassified non-coding RNA (732 nucleotides) under Penaeus chinensis. RNAcentral's name for it is "zinc finger protein OZF-like, transcript variant X4". The record is from RNAcentral. Lineage: Eukaryota; Metazoa; Arthropoda; Malacostraca; Decapoda; Penaeidae.
CACGAACCCAACAAGGACCGACUCGACUCAGCGAAAAAUCGGUCGUAUUAUUUUAUCCAUUUUAUGGGAAGGAGAAACUUCAUGCAUGAAGCUGGACCAAAUAACCAUUGAAGGAUGUCACAGAGGAGGAAGUUUCAUCUGGAGAAUAAUGAUGACUUGUUCUUAUACAAACUGAAGAUAAUAACUCAUAUAUUUUGAAGAGUGAUUACAUUUCCUGUGAAAAAAAUGUCAGAGAUUUCAGUUUCAAGGAAGUCUAAGAAUCAUGAGUGUUCCUUCUGUAAAAAGAAAUUUUUACACAAAACAGAACUGAAAAAGCACCGUCGAUCUCACACUAAGGAGAAACCGUUUGUUUGCAAAGAGUGUGCAACUGGUGGACCUCUUCCAAAGUAAAGAACAUUUUAGGGGAAAUCUACACUACUAAAAUGUAAAGAAAAAAAAAGAUUCUGGUAUGUGUGGAUAUCAUAAUAGCAAAAUCAUUAUAGAUUAUACAUUAUUUUUUAUAUUGCCAAAGUUUGUAGGGAUGUAUAGUUAUUGAUAAGAUUCGUACUUAAAAUUAUAGAAAUCCCUUGAACCAUCUGAUUUCUCAAUAUUUAUAUGCUAUUUUUGGGUAUGGAAAAUAGAGCAGUUGCAGUCAUUUGGAAAGAAGUGAUUAUGAAAUAGACCAAGCUUAUCAUUUUAUUUAAUAUUUUUAAUAGUGUCCUUCAACUUUGAAUUAUGUCAAAAAUAAAGAAA